Molecule: long non-coding RNA, 1122 nt
Organism: Aplysia californica (California sea hare)
Lineage: Eukaryota; Metazoa; Mollusca; Gastropoda; Aplysiida; Aplysiidae
Exons: 2
Source: RefSeq, a predicted model, not a curated record
UGUGCGUGCGUGUGUGUGCGCGUGUAAAAAAUACAGGGAGUAAGGAGAACGAGGGGAAGUGGGGAGGGAGGAGUGUUGUUGUUUUCACCGAUUUAUCACCUCAAGAAUCCUUUUAUUUGUUUCAUGAAGUAGAGCAGGAUACGAGCGAGUUUGUUUUGAACUAGUUUUCCUGGAAAGUGGCGAUGUUUGUGCAUAGGAGCUGGACUCGCUUGCGGACAAAAUAAUCUGGCACCUGUCCAGGCGUGCUCACAAAGUGUGGUGUACUGUACGGUAUGCGGAUGUUAUAAAAAGUAGCAUAGAAAGUCGUUGUCUCGACAAUGUCCUGCCACUGGCUACAGAUGGGCUGGGACGAGAGGCUGAGGCUGAGGACCUGCGCAACUCCCCCUCACUGUAAUUCAAGUCAAGCGCAAGGCAUGACUCCAUUCAGUCUACAAACAAAAACGCAGCGAGCGGAAGUCCAACAGCAGACUACCCGUGCCCAUACGCCAAUACUGCAGGCGAACCUUCCGAGCACGGAUAGGCCUGAUCUGUCAUCUCUGGACCAACAGUCACCAUCAACAGACCAAUUUAGGAAAUCAUGGUCACCUUCACAAGCGAAGAACGAGCAACAACAUUAAUACACCCGAAUCACACCGCCAAUUUAAUUCAUCAUUCAUACUAUCGGGACAAGGCAGCCGGGUUGGGUUUUUUCUUCUUUGGGAGCGGGCAAAAGAAAAAGGCUAUCAAUUGAGCACAAUACGACCUCAAGCAACAACAUUCGACUGCCACACUCAAAACCAAACAAUUUGUUUUUCAAGGUUACGAGUCGAACCGGUCAGAAGUGAACAGCUUGCAGGCUUAAACUAAUCACAAGGUCAGGGUCACAUUUGUAUUUCACUUUUUUUUUUGCGCGCGUGAAAUGCGAGAAAGAACGGUGCCGAUUCGGAGAGGCUGAUAAGAGAGAUAAUAUCCAAAUUUCCCACACCUGUCGGAUACAAGAUAGAGCUGGGCGAAGGAUCAAUUCUGGAACCGAUUUCCCCGAUUAAUCCUACGAAUGAAAAGUUCCGACUCCUCCUUACGUAAACCAGAAGUUACCAGUUACUUUAAUCAUUAAAAUCUUCUUUUUUUUCAAAUUAUUUUUGA